This 378-nucleotide ribosomal RNA is filed under the name uncultured bacterium. Its description in RNAcentral is "bacterial SSU rRNA". It matches the Rfam family "Bacterial small subunit ribosomal RNA", at positions 521 to 896 of the family's 1533-position model. The record is from RNAcentral.
UCAUACGUAGGAUCCGAGCGUUAUCCGGAGUGACUGGGCGUAAAGAGUUGCGUAGGGGGUUUGUUAAGCAAAUAGUGAAAUCGAGUGGCUCAACCAUUCGGCUAUUAUUUGAACUGGCAAACUUGAGAAUAUGAGAGGUAGAUGGAAUUCCCAGUGUAGGAGUAAAAUCCAUAGAUAUUGGGAGGAACACCAAUGGCGUAGGCAGUCUACUGGCAUAUUUCUGACCCUGAGGCACGAAAGCGUGGGGAGCGAACCGGAUUAGAUACCCGGGUAGUCCACGCCGUAAACUAUGGAUGCUAGCUGUUGGCCGUAUCGACCCGGUCAGUAGCACAGCUAACGCGUUAAGCAUCCCGCCUGGGGAGUACGGUCGCAAGAUUA